This 429-nucleotide ribosomal RNA is filed under the name Chloroflexota bacterium. RNAcentral describes it as "Chloroflexi bacterium partial 16S ribosomal RNA". It matches the Rfam family "Bacterial small subunit ribosomal RNA", at positions 355 to 776 of the family's 1533-position model. The record is from RNAcentral. Lineage: Bacteria; Bacillati; Chloroflexota.
UGGGGAAUAUUGCACAAUGGGCGCAAGCCUGAUGCAGCCAUGCCGCGUGUGUGAAGAAGGCCUUCGGGUUGUAAAGCACUUUCAGCGGGGAGGAAGGCGUUAAGGUUAAUAACCUUGGCGAUUGACGUUACCCGCAGAAGAAGCACCGGCUAACUCCGUGCCAGCAGCCGCGGUAAUACGGAGGGUGCAAGCGUUAAUCGGAAUUACUGGGCGUAAAGCGCACGCAGGCGGUCUGUCAAGUCGGAUGUGAAAUCCCCGGGCUCAACCGUGGAACUGCAUUCGAAACUGGCAGGCUAGAGUCUUGUAGAGGGGGGUAGAAUUCCAGGUGUAGCGGUGAAAUGCGUAGAGAUCUGGAGGAAUACCGGUGGCGAAGGCGGCCCCCUGGACAAAGACUGACGCUCAGGUGCGAAAGCGUGGGGAGCAAACAGG